This 466-nucleotide ribosomal RNA is filed under the name uncultured bacterium. RNAcentral describes it as "partial 16S ribosomal RNA". It matches the Rfam family "Bacterial small subunit ribosomal RNA", at positions 28 to 507 of the family's 1533-position model. The record is from RNAcentral.
GACGAACGCUGGCGGCGCGCCUAACACAUGCAAGUCGAACGAGCGAGAGAGAGCUUGCUUUCUCGAGCGAGUGGCGAACGGGUGAGUAACGCGUGAGGAACCUGCCUCAAAGAGGGGGACAACAGUUGGAAACGACUGCUAAUACCGCAUAAGCCCACGACCCGGCAUCGGGUAGAGGGAAAAUGAGCAAUCCGCUUUGAGAUGGCCUCGCGUCCGAUUAGCUAGUUGGUGAGGUAACGGCCCACCAAGGCGACGAUCGGUAGCCGGACUGAGAGGUGGAACGGCCACAUUGGGAAUGAGACACGGCCCAGACUCCUACGGGAGGCAGCAGUGGGGAAUAUUGCACAAGGGGGGAAACCCUGAUGCAGCGACGCCGCGUGGAGGAAGAAGGUCGUCGGAUUGUAAACUCCUGUUGUAGAGGAAGAUAAUGACGGUACUCAACAAGGAAGUGACGGCUAACUACGUG